UGGAUCUACUUCUAUGCUAAGUAAUAAAGUUGUGACUGAAGUUCUUCAACGUAUUGUUUUCCUCUGAUCCCGUUUGGUUCAAGUUUUUCCUGCACGUCACCAUCAAACAUUUUCUAGCAUUUAUGCAUUUUACCAUUCUUAGAUAAUUUGUUUCCUGACAUUUCCCCCUUCUCUUAAGUCAUUUUUCUUCUUGCAUCUGAACAGUGCUCUCUCACAUAGCUUCCAUUUUCUCUUUUACAGGGAACAGUGCUUCCUUGAACACUUUUGUGAAUAUCAAUUUCUUUCUAGCAUUUAUUUCUAGUUUCUAUAAUCUCUUGUUUUGUGAAGCACAGCUCCUGGCUAUCUCAGUCAGCUGCCAAAUCCACCUCAUGGUUUUGAUAGUUAUUUUGUAUGCUCAACAUUGGCAUUUAUUUUGUAUUUAAAAUAAUUAUUUGGUUUGAGUUUUCUGAGAAGAUUUUUUUUUUUGCUUUUGUCAUUUAUUUGGUUCAUUUGGUUGUUAUUUAUUUAUUUAUUUAUUUAUUUAUUUUUGAGUUAAGAGUUUUACUGUAUACCCCAGGAUAGCCCAGAUCUCAUUAUUCUCCAAUAUCAGUUUCAUGAUUGGAGGGAUAGCAUCUACAUGCCAGUAGAACAGGGUUGGUCUUAUUUAUUUUUACAUUAUUUCCCAGGACACUCCCACUAACCACACUCCCCAGUGUCAGUUUAGAUAGUAAGCACAAUCUCUUGUUCCAGCACAUCAUACAAUAGUAAUUUUAAGAACUUUCUCAAUGUAAUGCUGAUGAUCAGGUCCUUUAAUGUAUUCCUAAUAUAUUUAUCAAUUUCUGCCAAGUUUUGCCUCUUAUCCCUCGCUUUACUUGUGAGGGUAUGUUUUGUAUAACCAUGACAACAUUCUGGUACUCUCAAGUCAUACAAAUGCCUUUUUGUAUACUAUGAUUGAUCAGUUUCCAAACAUGUUCUGGAUGCCACAGCUGUCAAUCAGGAUGUAGUUGCAGAGCUGUUUCCUCUGAGAUCUACAUUCUAGGACCUCACUGCUCCAUUGGUUUUCAGUUGUUUUCUUAGGUCAGACCUGUCUACUUGGCUAUGGAGACUCCUAAGUGGUAAGUAAACAAAGCCAUAUUUAGGCCAAUUCCACCACAGUAGCUGGCAAACAGAAUAGCAAGUGAUUUUCCUCUAGAUACAACAGCCUUGAGGGGUAAUUUUUAAGCUGUUCAAAGAAAUAAAACUUAGAACUCCAACUCAUCAUGGAUAAAGAAAACCAAAACACUCCUAUAUCCAAUGUGAUGCCUGAUUAUGAGUUUCUUCAACUCUUCUACAUCUGAGAAUCUGUGAAGUAGCCCAAGAAUCCAUAUGGUGUAGUGGGAAGAACAAGAUAUUUAAAAGCAAACUCUAGUUUUCAAAUCCCAAUCAGAACACUCAGCUUAUCUGUCUUCACUUCCUCACUUCCAAAUGUACUGAAGCUAUAUCUUCCCCACCAAAGAUUUCUGGGAGUGUUAAUUAGUAACAAAAAACCUGAAGUUGUACACAAGGCAAGUGAAGUACCAUAGCAAAGCUUCCAUAGUUCCUCGCGACCAUUCAGAGAGCAAUGAAGUACUCAGAGUUUGUCCUGCCCACAAGAGGUACAGGGGUAAAACAGGGAGCAGGAUUUAAGGGAAGGACACGCCAACUGGCCCAGCUUGAUACCCAUGCCAUGAGAGGGAGCCCACCCCAACAUUAUUAAUGAUACUCUGCUAUACUUUCAGACAGGAGCCUAGCAUAACUGUCAUCAUAGAGGCUUCAUCCAGCAACUGAUGGAAACUGAUGCUGAGACCCACAGCCAGACAGGUUGAGUUUGAGGAAUCCUGUGGAAGAGAGGGAAGAAUUGAAGGAACCGGAUCAGCAACAAGAAAACCUGCAGAAUCUACUAACUUGGGAUCACAGGGGCUCAUAGCGACAGAACUGUCAUCCAGAGAGCAUGCAUGGAACAGAUCUAGGCCCUCUACACAUAUAUAACAGUUGUGAAGUGGGGUUGUCAUGUGGGACUCCUAAAGCAGAAGCCGGGGCUAUCUCUGACUACAUUCCCGGCCUUUGAAUCCCUUUCCCCUACCUGGGCUGCCUUUUCUAGCUUCAAUAGCAGAAGAUGAGCCCAGUCUAACUGCAACUUUAUAUGCUAAGGCUGGUUCAUAUUCAUGGGAGGGACUUCCCUUACUGAGGAGAAUGAGAAAAGGAGUGGAUGGAAUGGAAGGGGAAAUAAGAGAGAGGGACUUGGAGGAAAAGAAAAAGGGGAAACUGCAAGCAGGAUGCAAAGUAAAUAAAUAACUUAAUUAAUAAAAAUAACUAAUGGAAAAAAAGAAAGAAAAACCAAAGGCCUCCAAUCAAAAUUCCAAGCUUCUUCUUUAAUUAAUCAAAAAUCAUAAUUUAACCACAAAACAAGAAGAGGAGAAGAAAACUUUAAAAAUGACAAUAGAAACAUGUAGCACAGGAAAAGAGUAGAUGAAAACCAAAGAAACCAACAUUGACAUUUUGGUAAGAUUACUAGACUUGGGAAAAGCCUAUUGUCAAGUUGUCAAGCCUAUUGAGAAAAAAAUAGAGACACAGAUGGUGGCUGAUGUUAGAAAUUGAAAAGGGACAUCAGUGUGGAUACUGUAGAUAUUAGAACAGUCUAAAAAACUACAACUAAUGGUUGAUAAAUAAAUGGUGAACCAUACAAAUUCUUUCAAACAUGUAACAUGAGAGCUUAUUCAAAAAUAGAUUCACAUAACUGUGUGUCUAUAUAAGGCUUCAAUUUAUGCAUCACUUGUAAAGCCUUCCAAAUAUCCAAGGCAGAAAUACCAAUUCUAUAUAAACUCUUCCAGAACAUGGAAGAAGCAAGAAAUGGUUUCAACCCAAUGUUUUAGCCCAGCUCAUUCGACUGGUGUUGUUCAGAUAUUCACAUCAAACAAUGAAAUGAAAUGAAAGAAGAUUUCAGAAGGCAGGGCAGCCUAGAUCACUGGUACAUGCCUUCAGUCUCGGGGACUCAGAAGACAUGAGGAUCUCCUCAGCCUAAAUGUUCAAUGCCAGUCUGAGAACUAGAGCAGAGCCUCAAAGAGAGGAGGCAGAAGGUAGAAGACAGCAAUGGAAGAUUCAAACCCUCAGGCAAUAGCAGUCAUAAAUAAAGAAGUAAAAAUAUCUAAACAAAUGACAGUAGAUGCCAAUGGCUGCAUUUAUUUUGCCUGUAUGAAAAUGGUUUUGCUUAUACAAUAUUGUAUUUCAUUUCUGACCACAUCUUCCAGUUCUUGCUUUCUAUUCAUUCUGCUCUUCCUGACUCUUAACUGUUUCUCUUUGUGUGUGUUUGUGAAUGAAAUGAAUUUGUGUAUUAUUGCUAUGUGUGUGUAUGUGCCUGUGUAUGGUUUGAAUGUGAGUUGUGCAUGCCAAGGUACAUGUGUGUACAUCAAAGGACAGCUUUAUGGGGCCAUAUUUCUCUUUCCACCUUUUUGUCAGUUCUAGUGAUUAGACUCAGUGCCGGACUCAGCAUGCCCAGCACACCUUUACCUUCUGGGAAUCUCGCUGGCCUCAUUGUCUGGAUUAUGACAGCAACUCUGCCACUUGCCUUCAGACUUUGCUUGUGUAUGGCCCAUGUACCUCCAUCAAAGUCUCCUUCCUCAAAUGCACUAUUGUGUAAGUCUAUGGGAUUGAUCAUAGAGAGGCUUAAAAAUUCCCAAAACACACACACACACACACACACACACACACACAUACAGAGAGAGAGAGAGAACCUUAAUUUAUAUUUUCUUCUAUCAUUAUACAUGUUCUGCACCCAGGAAUAUUCCAUAAUCAUAUUCUAACUAACACUAGAGACAUAAUUAUACAUAUAUAUUUGCUUGAAAUCUAAAUAUUAUGCUUCUACACUAAUUUUUAUUCCCUCUCCUUCACAUUUUGUGCUAUGUGGUUCUGUCAAAGUUUAUUCUAGGUUUAUUUAAUUUUAUUUGCAUGACUGUUUUGUCACAGUGUAGUUAAGUAGAUUUACUGAUAUAUUAGAAUAAAGCCUAAUGCAUCUGCUCCUCUUCGGUACGUGAGCUUCGCUUGGCAGCCCCUGAGCUUCUGUCCUUGUUUCUACUAGCAUCUUCAAAACUGACAUUAAGCACGGAUAUUAAAAUGAAAUAAAUGUCUGACACACGC
Molecule: long non-coding RNA, 4131 nt
Filed under: Mus musculus (house mouse)
Lineage: Eukaryota; Metazoa; Chordata; Mammalia; Rodentia; Muridae
Description: predicted gene, 26871
Source: RNAcentral